RNAcentral lists this small RNA (18 nucleotides) under Arabidopsis thaliana (thale cress). RNAcentral describes it as "ATSL004910". Lineage: Eukaryota; Viridiplantae; Streptophyta; Magnoliopsida; Brassicales; Brassicaceae. The record is from RNAcentral.
AAAGAUGCGACGACUUUU